CAAGAGUCAGGUGCGCGAGACCGGAUCUUGGGCGUAAAGAAAAGAAUGCGGCUGGUUAGUCCUGUGAAAGCGUGCACAUAACCCGGCUUUGCAUUUGAUACUGGCGGACUUGAGUAUGGGAGAGGGAAGUGGAAUUCCCGCGUAGAGGUGAAAUUGGUAGAUAUCAGGAGGAACACCGGUGGCGAAGGCGACUUCCUGGACCAAUACUGACGCUGAGGCGCGAAGGCGUGGGUAGCAAACAGGAUUAGAUACCCUGGUAGUCCACGCAGUAAACGGUGAUCACUAGGUGUAGCGGGUAUUGACCCCUGCUGUGCCGCAGUUAACGCAUUAAGUGAUCCGCCUGGGGAGUACGGCCGCAAGGUUAAAACUCAAAGGAAUUGACGGGGGCCCGCAUAAGCGGUGGAGCAUGUGGUUUAAUUCGACGCAACGCGAAGAACCUUACCUGGGUUUGACAUCUCGGGGAUUUUUUGGAAACAAGAAAGUGCCCUUCGGGGAGCCCGAAGACAGGUGCUGCAUGGCUGUCGUCAGCUCGUGUCGUGAGAUGUUGGGUUAAGUCCCGCAACGAGCGCAACCCUUAUCUUUAGUUACCAUCACUUCGGGUGGGGACUCUAAAGAUACUGCCCCGGUCAACGGGGGGGAAGGUGGGGAUGACGUCAAGUCCUCAUGGCCUUUAUGCCCAGGGCUACACACGUGCUACAAUGGGCGAUACAAAGGGUAGCGAGCCUGCGAAGGUGAGCCAAUCCCAAAAAGUCGUUCUUAGUUCGGAUUGGAGUCUGCAACUCGACUCCAUGAAGCUGGAAUCGCUAGUAAUCGCGGAUCAGCACGCCGCGGUGAAUACGUUCCCGGGCCUUGUACACACCGCCCGUCACACCAUGAGAGUUGGUUGUACCAGAAGUUGUUGGGCUAACCCGCAAGGGAGGCAGGCACCUAAGGUAUGGCUGAUGAUUGGGGUGAAGUCGUAACAAGGUAAAGGGCGAAUUCCAGCACACUGGCGGCCGUUACUAGUGGAUCCGAGCUCGGUACCAAGCUUGGCGUAAUCAUGGUCAUAGCUUUUGGUUCUCGCGGA
This 1066-nucleotide ribosomal RNA is filed under the name uncultured delta proteobacterium. RNAcentral describes it as "bacterial SSU rRNA". It matches the Rfam family "Bacterial small subunit ribosomal RNA", at positions 526 to 1533 of the family's 1533-position model. Lineage: Bacteria; Deltaproteobacteria. The record is from RNAcentral.